AUACGGAGGAUGCGAGCGUUAUCCGGAUUUAUUGGGUUUAAAGGGAGCGUAGGUGGGAUAUUAAGUCAGCUGUGAAAGUUUGGGGCUCAACCUUAAAAUUGCAGUUGAUACUGGUUUCCUUGAGUACGGUAUAGGUGGGCGGAAUUCGUGGUGUGGCGGUGGAAUGCUUAGAUAUCACGAAGAACUCCGAUCGCGAAGGCAGCUCACCGGGCCGGAACUAACACUGAUGCUCGAAAGUGCGGGUAUCAAACAGGAUUAGAUACCCUGGUAGUCCGCACAGUAAACGAUGAAUACUCGCUGUUUGCGAUACACUGUAAGCAGCCAAGCGAAAGCGUUAAGUAUUCCACCUGGGGAGUACGCCGGCAACGGUGAAACUCAAAGGAAUUGACGGGG
RNAcentral lists this ribosomal RNA (393 nucleotides) under uncultured bacterium. RNAcentral's name for it is "partial 16S ribosomal RNA". It matches the Rfam family "Bacterial small subunit ribosomal RNA", at positions 523 to 918 of the family's 1533-position model. The record is from RNAcentral.